Molecule: ribosomal RNA, 450 nt
Filed under: uncultured bacterium
Lineage: Bacteria
Description: bacterial SSU rRNA
Rfam family: Bacterial small subunit ribosomal RNA
Source: RNAcentral
CGCCAGACUCCUACGGGAGGCAGCAGUGGGGAAUAUUGGGCAAUGGGCGCAAGCCUGACCCAGCAACGCCGCGUGAAGGAAGAAGGCUUUCGGGUUGUAAACUUCUUUUAAGAGGGAAGAGCAGAAGACGGUACCUCUUGAAUAAGCUCCGGCUAACUACGUGCCAGCAGCCGCGGUAAUACGUAGGGAGCGAGCGUUGUCCGGAUUUACUGGGUGCAAAGGGCGUGCAGCCGGGAGUACAAGUCAGAUGUGAAAUCCCGCGGCUCAACCGCGGAACUGCAUUUGAAACUGUAUUUCUUGAGUACUGGAGAGGCAGACGGAAUUCCUAGUGUAGCGGUGAAAUGCGUAGAUAUUAGGAGGAACACCAGAGGCGAAGGCGGCUAACUGGACUGUAACUGACGCUGAGGCACGAAAGUGUGGGGAGCAAACAGGAUUAGAUACCCUUGUAUC